GACGAACGCUGGCGGCGUGCUUAACACAUGCAAGUCGAACGGAAAGGCCCUGCUUUUGUGGGGUGCUCGAGUGGCGAACGGGUGAGUAACACGUGAGUAACCUGCCCUUGACUUUGGGAUAACUUCAGGAAACUGGGGCUAAUACCGGAUAGGAGCUCCUGCUGCAUGGUGGGGGUUGGAAAGUUUCGGCGGUUGGGGAUGGACUCGCGGCUUAUCAGCUUGUUGGUGGGGUAGUGGCUUACCAAGGCUUUGACGGGUAGCCGGCCUGAGAGGGUGACCGGCCACAUUGGGACUGAGAUACGGCCCAGACUCCUACGGGAGGCAGCAGUGGGGAAUGGUGCACAAUGGGCGGAAGCCUGAUGCAGCAACGCCGCGUGCGGGAUGACGGCCUUCGGGUUGUAAACCGCUUUCGCCUGUGACGAAGCGUGAGUGACGGUAAUGGGUAAAGAAGCACCGGCUAACUACGUG
Molecule: ribosomal RNA, 468 nt
Filed under: uncultured bacterium
Lineage: Bacteria
Description: partial 16S ribosomal RNA
Rfam family: Bacterial small subunit ribosomal RNA
Source: RNAcentral